RNAcentral lists this ribosomal RNA (292 nucleotides) under uncultured bacterium. RNAcentral describes it as "partial 16S ribosomal RNA". It matches the Rfam family "Bacterial small subunit ribosomal RNA", at positions 505 to 796 of the family's 1533-position model. The record is from RNAcentral.
GUGUCAGCAGCCGCGGUAAAACGUAGGAGACGAGCGUUAUCCGGAUUUACUGGGCGUAAAGCGCGUGCAGGCGGUUUAUUAAGUCACUUGUGAAAGCGCCCGGCUCAACUGGGCGAGGCCGUGUGAGACUGAUAGACUUGAGAGAGGUAGAGGCGAAUGGAAUUCCGGGUGGAGUGGUGAAAUGCGUAGAGAUCCGGAGGAACACCAGUGGCGAAGGCGAUUCGCUGGGCCUUCUCUGACGCUCAGACGCGACAGCAUGGGGAGCGAACGGGAUUAGAUACCCCCGUAGUCC